AGGACGAACGCUGGCGGCGUGCUUAACACAUGCAAGUCGUGCGGUAAGGCCUUUCGGGGUACACUAGCGGCGAACGGGUGAGUAACACGUGGGUGAUCUGCCCUGCACUUCGGGAUAAGCCUGGGAAACUGGGUCUAAUACUGGAUAUGACCUCAGGUUGCAUGACUUGGGGUGGAAAGAUUUAUCGGUGCAGGAUGGGCCCGCGGCCUAUCAGCUUGUUGGUGGGGUAAUGGCCUACCAAGGCGACGACGGGUAGCCGACCUGAGAGGGUGACCGGCCACACUGGGACUGAGACACGGCCCAGACUCCUACGGGAGGCAGCAGUGGGAAUAUUGCACAAUGGGCGAAAGCCUGAUGCAGCGACGCCGCGUGAGGGAUGGACGGCCGUUCGGGUUGUAAACCUCUUUCAGCAGGACGAAGCGCAAGUGACGUACUGCAGAAGAAGCACCGGCUAACUACGUGCCAGCACGCGC
This 473-nucleotide ribosomal RNA is filed under the name uncultured soil bacterium. Its description in RNAcentral is "bacterial SSU rRNA". It matches the Rfam family "Bacterial small subunit ribosomal RNA", at positions 26 to 518 of the family's 1533-position model. The record is from RNAcentral.